AUGGGCUGCAGGCCGCCCGGACGCGUCUUCUUCCUCCGCGGGGGCACCGGGGGCGGGCGGGCGGGGCCCGGGGGCCGGACGCGCGGGGGGUCCCGCGGGGGGACCGGCGGAGGCGGACGCCGCUGCAGGCGCAGCUCCCGGAAGGUGACCGGCCGGCGGGCCGGGGGGCCCGGGCCGGCCGGGGCCCCGACGGGAGGCCGCUCGGCGUCGGGCGAGAAGACGAUCAGCCAGUCGGCCCGCUCCUUGGGGACCGGCGCGGGCGGAGGGCCCGGGCCCCGCUUGCGCCUCUUGGCCAGCUCGUGGAAGGACGUGACGGUGCGGCGCGGGGGGCUUGGGGGUGAGGACGCCACGGCGACGGCGUUGCGGUUGGCGUCCAGCGGCGGCCCGGCCUCCGGGGUCCCAUCGGAGCACGGGGCCGGGGCCGGGCUCCGGGGCCCGGCCCGGGCCUGGGCUUGGGCCUGGGUCUGGACCUCGGCCUGGUCUUGGGCCCGGAUCCGGUCUUGGGCCCGGGCUUUGGCCUGGACCUGGUCUUGGGCCUGGACUUGGGCCUGGUCUUGGGCCUGGGCUUUGGCCUGGAACUGGUCUUGGGCCUGGACUUGGGCCUGGGCCUGGGCCUGGACCUGGUCUUGGGCCUGGACUUGGGCCUGGGCCUGGGCCUGGACCUGGUCUUGGGCCUGGACCUGGUCUUGGGCCUGGACUUGGGCCUGGUCUUGGGCCUGGACUUGGGCCUGGGCCUGGUCUUGGGCCUGGACUUGGGCCUGGGCCUGGUCUUGGACCUGGGCCUGGUCUCGGGCCUGGCAGAAAUCAGGGCUGAGGUCGGAGGCGCAGCUGAGCGAGGAGGAGGAGGAAGAGCAGGAGGAGGUGGGCGUGGAAGGGGAGGAAGGUGACAGCCGCCGCCCCUCCCGUCCUCCGUCGUCGUCGUCCUCCUCCUCCUCCUCGUCGUCGGGGCGGCGGGGCGGCCCCCCGGCGGUCUGGAGCCCGUGCCCCCGGCAGCAGCGGCAGGGCACGGCCGGGCUGUUGGAGUUGGCGUCGAGCGGAGGCGGCGGGGCGGAGGUGGCGGGGGGGGGGCCCCGGGGCGGGGGGCGGCCCCCCGGGGGUCCCCUCCCGGAGCUCGGGCCGGCGGGCCAGGCGCAGCCCCAGCGCCACGUGCUGCAGGCGCAGGUGGUUGAGGUUGCAGGGGAGGGCGUGCUGCGGGGGCAGCAUGGCGGCCAGCCUGGAGGAGGAGGAGGAGGAGGACACCGGAGGCGGGAAGGGUGGGGGGGACACGCCGAGGGGACCGGCGCACCUGGAAGGAGGGCCGGGGGGAGGAGAAGGACGGAGACGGGGAGGAGCAGGAGGGAUGCAGGACCGCAGUGCCGGAGGGGAGGGGGAGGUCAGAGGAUGGGCGUCGGCCCGGGGCUCCUGCCGCAGCCGCGACGCCCCCCGCCCCGUCCCCGGGAUGCUGACAUGCCCCUCCCCGGUGUGUCGUCCCGUCCCCCCCCCCCCCCGGCGUCCUUCCCGCCCUACCUGCCGGGCCCGGCACGGGAAGCGGCGCCGUCCGAGGGAGCGGGGGAGGGAUGGAGCGCUAGACCCGCCGCUGGCCGCUGCGCCCUCCGCCUGGCCCCACCCCCCGGGCCCGCACGGCGCAGGCGCGGACCCGCCUCCCCUCCCCCCACCCGUGUCAUCCUCUCCCCCCCCCCCCGGGAUCUGCCCACGGCCCCGCGGCCUCUUCCCGGCAUCCCGCAUAUUCCCACGGCGCGCAAAGCGCUGGGGGGAGGCCGCCGCGGCCGGGAACGCCCAUCCUCUCCAUCCCCCAUUUAUUCAUAA
Molecule: long non-coding RNA, 1806 nt
Filed under: Ornithorhynchus anatinus (platypus)
Lineage: Eukaryota; Metazoa; Chordata; Mammalia; Monotremata; Ornithorhynchidae
Description: lncRNA (ENSOANG00000041254.1)
Source: RNAcentral